UGAGCAGCCACACAGGCACCUGAUUGUC
This 28-nucleotide non-coding RNA is filed under the name Homo sapiens (human). The record is from RNAcentral. Lineage: Eukaryota; Metazoa; Chordata; Mammalia; Primates; Hominidae.